RNAcentral lists this ribosomal RNA (212 nucleotides) under Escherichia coli. RNAcentral describes it as "partial 23S ribosomal RNA". It matches the Rfam family "Bacterial large subunit ribosomal RNA", at positions 743 to 953 of the family's 2925-position model. Lineage: Bacteria; Pseudomonadati; Pseudomonadota; Gammaproteobacteria; Enterobacterales; Enterobacteriaceae. The record is from RNAcentral.
GGUUGAAGGUUGGGUAACAGUAACUCGAGGACCGAACGGACUAAUGUUGAAAAGUUAGCGGAUGACUUGAGGCUGGGGGUGACAAGCCAAGCACAGCGGGAGAAAGAAGGAUGUCACCGAACGCUGUUUAGGUAUUGCCUCGUGAAUUUAUCUGCGGGGGUAGUGAACUGUUUCGGCUGGGGGGUCAUCCCGACUUACCUACCCGAUGCCAA